UACGUAGGUGGCAAGCGUUGUCCGGAUUUACUGGGCGUAAAGAGCGCGCAGGCGGUCCUUUAAGUCUGAUGUGAAAGCCCACGGCUCAACCGUGGAGGGUCAUUGGAAACUGGGGGACUUGAGUACAGAAGAGGAAAGCGGAAUUCCACGUGUAGCGGUGAAAUGCGUAGAGAUGUGGAGGAACACCAGUGGCGAAGGCGGCUUUCUGGUCUGUAACUGACGCUGAGGCGCGAAAGCGUGGGGAGCAAGCAGG
RNAcentral lists this ribosomal RNA (253 nucleotides) under uncultured bacterium. Its description in RNAcentral is "partial 16S ribosomal RNA". It matches the Rfam family "Bacterial small subunit ribosomal RNA", at positions 524 to 776 of the family's 1533-position model. The record is from RNAcentral.